Molecule: ribosomal RNA, 744 nt
Filed under: uncultured bacterium
Lineage: Bacteria
Description: bacterial SSU rRNA
Rfam family: Bacterial small subunit ribosomal RNA
Source: RNAcentral
GACGAACGCUGGCGGCGUGCUUCAGACAUGCAAGUCGAGCGGGCGGAGGCCGAACCGCAAGGUGAGGCUGAAGCCAGCGGCGAACGGGUGAGUAACACGUGGGUAAUCUGCCCGGAAGACUGGGAUAACGGUUCGAAAGGACCGCUAAUACCGGAUAGUGUCGUCUUUUCGCAUGAAAGGACGAAGAAAGGCUUCGGCCACUUUCGGAUGAGCCCGCGUCCCAUCAGCUGGUUGGUGAGGUAAAGGCUCACCAAGGCAACGACGGGUAGCCGGUCUGAGAGGAUGGUCGGCCACACUGGGACUGAGAUACGGCCCAGACUCCUACGGGAGGCAGCAGUCGGGAAUCUUGGGCAAUGGGCGGAAGCCUGACCCAGCGACGCCGCGUGAGGGAAGAAGGCCUUCGGGUCGUAAACCUCUGUCAUGGGGGACGAAGGAAGUGACGGUACCCCAAGAGGAAGCCCCUGCUAACUACGUGCCAGCAGCCGCGGUAAUACGUAGGGGGCGAGCGUUGUCCGGAGUUAUUGGGCGUAAAGGGCGUGUAGGCGGCCUGUUAAGUCAGGUGUGAAAUUUCAGGGCUUAACCCUGAAACUGCGUUUGAAACUGGCAGGCUUGAGGACAGGAGAGGGAAGUGGAAUUCCCGGUGUAGCGGUGGAAUGCGUAGAUAUCGGGAGGAACACCAGUGGCGAAGGCGGCUUCCUGGACUGUACCUGACGCUGAGGCGCGAAAGCUAGGGGAGCAAACAGG